UACGUAGGGUGCGAGCGUUGUCCGGAAUUAUUGGGCGUAAAGGGUUCGUAGGCGGUUUGUCGCGUCGGGAGUGAAAUCAUCUGGCUUAACUGGGUGCUUGCUUUCGAUACGGGCAGACUAGAGGUAUGCAGGGGAGAACGGAAUUCCUGGCGUAGCGGUGAAAUGCGCAGAUAUCAGGAGGAACACCGGUGGCGAAGGCGGUUCUCUGGGCAUGAUCUGACGCUGAGGAGCGAAAGUGUGGGGAGCGAACAGG
This 253-nucleotide ribosomal RNA is filed under the name uncultured bacterium. Its description in RNAcentral is "partial 16S ribosomal RNA". It matches the Rfam family "Bacterial small subunit ribosomal RNA", at positions 524 to 776 of the family's 1533-position model. The record is from RNAcentral.